This 497-nucleotide ribosomal RNA is filed under the name uncultured bacterium. Its description in RNAcentral is "partial 16S ribosomal RNA". It matches the Rfam family "Bacterial small subunit ribosomal RNA", at positions 28 to 507 of the family's 1533-position model. The record is from RNAcentral.
GAUGAACGCUGGCGGCGUGCCUAAUACAUGCAAGUCGAGCGAACGGACGAGAAGCUUGCUUUUCUGAUGUUAGCGGCGGACGGGUGAGUAACACGUGGAUAACCUACCUAUAAGACUGGGAUAACUUCGGGAAACCGGAGCUAAUACCGGAUAAUAUUUUGAACCGCAUGGUUCAAAAGUGGAAGACGGUCUUGCUGUCACUUAUAGAUGGAUCCGCGCUGCAUUAGCUAGUUGGUAAGGUAACGGCUUACCAAGGCAACGAUGCAUAGCCGACCUGAGAGGGUGAUCGGCCACACUGGAACUGAGACACGGUCCAGACUCCUACGGGAGGCAGCAGUAGGGAAUCUUCCGCAAUGGGCGAAAGCCUGACGGAGCAACGCCGCGUGAGUGAUGAAGGUCUUCGGAUCGUAAAACUCUGCUAUUAGGGAAGAACAUAUGUGUAAGUAACUGUGCACAUCUUGACGGUACCUAAUCAGAAAGCCACGGCUAACUACGUG